AGUCAUAUGCUUGUCUCAAAGAUUAAGCCAUGCAUGUCUCAGUACAAGCCAAAUUAAGGUGAAACCGCGAAAGGCUCAUUAAAUCAGUUAUGGUUCCUUAGAUCGUACCCACAUUUACUUGGAUAACUGUGGUAAUUCUAGAGCUAAUACAUGCCAACAGAACUCCGACCGGAGACGGAAGGAGUGCCUUUAUUAGAUCAAAACCAAUCGGUGCCGCGGUCUCGGCCCGGCAUCGUACAAGAUGGUGAAUCUGAAUAACGUUUGCUGAUCGCACGGUCUCGCACCGGCGACGUAUCUUUCAAAUGUCUGCCUUAUCAACUGUCGAUGGUAGGUUCUGCGCCUACCAUGGUUGUAACGGGUAACGGGGAAUCAGGGUUCGAUUCCGGAGAGGGAGCCUGAGAAACGGCUACCACAUCCAAGGAAGGCAGCAGGCGCGCAAAUUACCCACUCCCGGCACGGGGAGGUAGUGACGAAAAAUAACGAUACGGGACUCAUCCGAGGCCCCGUAAUCGGAAUGAGCACACUUUAAAUCCUUUCACGAGGAUCAAUCGGAGGGCAAGUCAGGUGCCAGCAGCCGCGGUAAUUCCUGCUCCGAUAGCGUAU
Molecule: ribosomal RNA, 603 nt
Filed under: Quaestus nuptialis
Lineage: Eukaryota; Metazoa; Arthropoda; Insecta; Coleoptera; Leiodidae
Description: SSU rRNA
Rfam family: Eukaryotic small subunit ribosomal RNA
Source: RNAcentral